GAUGAACGCUGGCGGCGUGCCUAAUACAUGCAAGUCGAGCGAACAGACGAGGAGCUUGCUCCUCUGACGUUAGCGGCGGACGGGUGAGUAACACGUGGAUAACCUACUUAUAUGACUGGGAUAACUUCGGGAAACCGGAGCUAAUAACGGAUAAUAUAUCGAACCGCAUGGAUCAAUAGUGGAUGGCGGUUUUGCUGUCACUGAUAGAUGGAUCCGCGCCGCAUUAGCUAGUUGGUAAGGUAACGGCUUACCAAGGCAACGAUGCGUAGCCGACCUGAGAGGAUGAUCGGCCACACUGGAACUGAGACACGGUCCAGACUCCUACGGGAGGCAGCAGUAGGGAAUCUUCCGCAAUGGGUGAAAGCCUGACGGAGCAACACCGCGUGAGUGAUGAAGGUCUUCGGAUCGUAAAACUCUGUUAUUAGGGAAGAACAAAUGUGUAAGUAACUAUGCCCGUCUUGACGGUACCUAAACAGAAAGCCACGGCUAACUACGUG
This 497-nucleotide ribosomal RNA is filed under the name uncultured bacterium. RNAcentral describes it as "partial 16S ribosomal RNA". It matches the Rfam family "Bacterial small subunit ribosomal RNA", at positions 28 to 507 of the family's 1533-position model. The record is from RNAcentral.